AUUGAACUGAAGAGUUUGAUCCUGGCUCAGAUUGAACGCUGGCGGCAUGCUUUACACAUGCAAGUCGAACGGCAGCACGGGUGCUUGCACCUGGUGGCGAGUGGCGGACGGGUGAGUAAUGCAUCGGAACAUGUCCAGGAGAGGGGGAUAACGCAUCGAAAGAUGUGCUAAUACCGCAUAUUCUCUGAGGAGAAAAGCAGGGGAUCGUAAGACCUUGCGCUUUUGGAGUGGCCGAUGCCUGAUUAGCUAGUUGGUAG
RNAcentral lists this ribosomal RNA (257 nucleotides) under Burkholderiales bacterium. Its description in RNAcentral is "partial 16S ribosomal RNA". It matches the Rfam family "Bacterial small subunit ribosomal RNA", at positions 1 to 255 of the family's 1533-position model. The record is from RNAcentral. Lineage: Bacteria; Pseudomonadati; Pseudomonadota; Betaproteobacteria; Burkholderiales.